This 72-nucleotide transfer RNA is filed under the name Endocronartium harknessii PhW48OC. RNAcentral's name for it is "tRNA-Val (AAC) (tRNA-Val-AAC-4-1)". It matches the Rfam family "tRNA". From Rfam's summary of the family: Transfer RNA (tRNA) molecules are approximately 80 nucleotides in length. Their secondary structure includes four short double-helical elements and three loops (D, anti-codon, and T loops). Lineage: Eukaryota; Fungi; Basidiomycota; Pucciniomycetes; Pucciniales; Coleosporiaceae. The record is from RNAcentral. RNAcentral also lists the same sequence under 1 other name.
GACUGGAUAGCCUAGUGAUAAAGGCAUCACAUCAACAAUGUGAGGUCCCUGGUUCAGAUCCAGUUCUAGUCA